AACUUUAAAUAGGUAGGAC
Molecule: small nuclear RNA, 19 nt
Filed under: Arabidopsis thaliana (thale cress)
Lineage: Eukaryota; Viridiplantae; Streptophyta; Magnoliopsida; Brassicales; Brassicaceae
Description: snRNA_02286
Source: RNAcentral